GGGACAACAGUUGGAAACGACUGCUAAUACCGCAUAAGCCCACGGGUCGGCAUCGACCAGAGGGAAAAGGAGCAAUCCGCUUUGAGAUGGCCUCGCGUCCGAUUAGCUAGUUGGUGAGGUAAUGGCCCACCAAGGCGACGAUCGGUAGCCGGACUGAGAGGUUGAACGGCCACAUUGGGACUGAGACACGGCCCAGACUCCUACGGGAGGCAGCAGUGGGGAAUAUUGCACAAUGGGGGAAACCCUGAUGCAGCGACGCCGCGUGGAGGAAGAAGGUCUUCGGAUUGUAAACUCCUGUUGUUGAGGAAGAUAAUGACGGUACUCAACAAGGAAGUGACGGCUAACUACGUGCCAGCAGCCGCGGUAAAACGUAGGCCACAAGCGUUGUCCGGAAUUACUGGGUGUAAAGGGAGCGCAGGCGGGAAGACAAGUUGGAAGUGAAAUCUAUGGGCUCAACCCAUAAACUGCUUUCAAAACUGUUUUUCUUGAGUAGUGCAGAGGUAGGCGGAAUUCCCGGUGUAGCGGUGGAAUGCGUAGAUAUCGGGAGGAACACCAGUGGCGAAGGCGGCCUACUGGGCACCAACUGACGCUGAGGCUCGAAAGUGUGGGUAGCAAACAGGAUUAGAUACCCUGGUAGUCCACACCGUAAACGAUGAUUACUAGGUGUUGGAGGAUUGACCCCUUCAGUGCCGCAG
Molecule: ribosomal RNA, 695 nt
Filed under: uncultured bacterium
Lineage: Bacteria
Description: bacterial SSU rRNA
Rfam family: Bacterial small subunit ribosomal RNA
Source: RNAcentral